AUUGAACGCUGGCGGCAGGCCUAACACAUGCAAGUCGAGCGAGUGGCGGACGGGUGAGUAAUGUCUGGGAAACUGGCUGAUGGAGGGGGAUAACUACUGGAAACGGUAUCUAAUACCGCAUACCAUCGGAUGUGCCCAUAUGGGAUUAGCUAGUAGGUGGGGUAACGGCUCACCUAGGCGACGAUCCCUAGCUGGUCUGAGAGGAUGACCAGCAACACUGGAACUGGGACACGGUCCAGACUCCUAAGGGAGGCAGCAGUGGGGAAGAUUGCGCAAUGGGCGCAAGCCUGAUGCAGCCAUGCCGCGUGUGUGAAGAAGGCCUUCGGGUUGUAAAGCACUUUCAGCGGGGAGGCGUUACCCGCAGAAGAAGCACCGGCUAACUCCGUGCCAGCAGCCGCGGUAAUUC
Molecule: ribosomal RNA, 406 nt
Filed under: uncultured bacterium
Lineage: Bacteria
Description: partial 16S ribosomal RNA
Rfam family: Bacterial small subunit ribosomal RNA
Source: RNAcentral